RNAcentral lists this ribosomal RNA (293 nucleotides) under uncultured bacterium. RNAcentral's name for it is "partial 16S ribosomal RNA". It matches the Rfam family "Bacterial small subunit ribosomal RNA", at positions 505 to 796 of the family's 1533-position model. The record is from RNAcentral.
GUUGCCAGCCGCCGCGGUAAUACGGAGGGUCCAAGCGUUGUCCGGAAUCACUGGGCGUAAAGGGUGUGCAGGUGGGGCAGCAAGUCAGAGGUGAAAGCCCGCGGCUUAACCGCGGACGUGCCUUUGAAACUGUUGCUCUUGAGUCCCGGAGAGGUUGCCGGAAUUCGUGGUGUAGCGGUGAAAUGCGUAGAUAUCACGAGGAACGCCAGAGGCGAAAGCGGGCAACUGGACGGGUACUGACACUGAGGCACGAAAGCGUGGGGAGCAGACAGGAUUAGAAACCCUGGUAGUCC